CAAAGUGUAGCUUAAUAUAAAGCAUCUAGUUUACACCUAGAAGACAUUAAUUAAUAUAAUCACUUUGA
This 68-nucleotide transfer RNA is filed under the name Macrophyllum macrophyllum. RNAcentral's name for it is "tRNA-Val". It matches the Rfam family "tRNA". From Rfam's summary of the family: Transfer RNA (tRNA) molecules are approximately 80 nucleotides in length. Their secondary structure includes four short double-helical elements and three loops (D, anti-codon, and T loops). Lineage: Eukaryota; Metazoa; Chordata; Mammalia; Chiroptera; Phyllostomidae. The record is from RNAcentral.